GACAGAGGGUGCAAGCGUUGCUCGGAAUCACUGGGCGUAAAGGGCGUGUAGGCGGGAAGGAAAGUCGGGCGUGAAAUCCCUGGGCUCAACCCAGGAACUGCACUCGAAACUUCUUUUCUUGAGUGCCGGAGAGGAAAGCGGAAUUCCUGGUGUAGAGGUGAAAUUCGUAGAUAUCAGGAGGAACACCAGUGGCGAAGGCGGCUUUCUGGACGGUAACUGACGCUGAGACGCGAAAGCGUGGGGAGCAAACAGG
This 253-nucleotide ribosomal RNA is filed under the name uncultured bacterium. Its description in RNAcentral is "partial 16S ribosomal RNA". It matches the Rfam family "Bacterial small subunit ribosomal RNA", at positions 524 to 776 of the family's 1533-position model. The record is from RNAcentral.